RNAcentral lists this ribosomal RNA (454 nucleotides) under uncultured Rhodocyclaceae bacterium. RNAcentral's name for it is "bacterial SSU rRNA". It matches the Rfam family "Bacterial small subunit ribosomal RNA", at positions 927 to 1382 of the family's 1533-position model. Lineage: Bacteria; Pseudomonadati; Pseudomonadota; Betaproteobacteria; Rhodocyclales; Rhodocyclaceae. The record is from RNAcentral.
AAGCGGUGGAUGAUGUGGAUUAAUUCGAUGCAACGCGAAAACCUUACCUACCCUGACAUGUCCGGAAUCCCGAAGAGAUUUGGGAGUGCUCGCAAGAGAACCGGAACACAGGUGCUGCAUGGCUGUCGUCAGCUCGUGUCGUGAGAUGUUGGGUUAAGUCCCGCAACGAGCGCAACCCUUGUCAUUAGUUGCCAUCAUUUGGUUGGGCACUCUAAUGAGACUGCCGGUGACAAACCGGAGGAAGGUGGGGAUGACGUCAAGUCCUCAUGGCCCUUAUGGGUAGGGCUUCACACGUCAUACAAUGGUCGGUACAGAGGGUUGCCAACCCGCGAGGGGGAGCUAAUCCCACAAAGCCGAUCGUAGUCCGGAUCGCAGUCUGCAACUCGACUGCGUGAAGUCGGAAUCGCUAGUAAUCGUGGAUCAGCAUGUCACGGUGAAUACGUUCCCGGGUCUU